UACGUAGGUCCCGAGCGUUGUCCGGAUUUAUUGGGCGUAAAGCGAGCGCAGGUGGUUUAUUAAGUCUGGUGUAAAAGGCAGUGGCUCAACCAUUGUAUGCAUUGGAAACUGGUAGACUUGAGUGCAGGAGAGGAGAGUGGAAUUCCAUGUGUAGCGGUGAAAUGCGUAGAUAUUAGGAGGAACACCAGUGGCGAAGGCGGCUUACUGGACGGUAACUGACACUGAGGCUCGAAAGCGUGGGGAGCAAACAGG
RNAcentral lists this ribosomal RNA (252 nucleotides) under uncultured bacterium. RNAcentral's name for it is "partial 16S ribosomal RNA". It matches the Rfam family "Bacterial small subunit ribosomal RNA", at positions 524 to 776 of the family's 1533-position model. The record is from RNAcentral.